This 253-nucleotide ribosomal RNA is filed under the name uncultured bacterium. Its description in RNAcentral is "partial 16S ribosomal RNA". It matches the Rfam family "Bacterial small subunit ribosomal RNA", at positions 524 to 776 of the family's 1533-position model. The record is from RNAcentral.
UACGGAGGGUGCAAGCGUUGCUCGGAAUCACUGGGCGUAAAGCGCACGUAGGCGGAUCAUUAAGUCGGGGGUGAAAUCCUGGAGCUCAACUCCAGAACUGCCUUCGAUACUGAAGAUCUCGAGUCCGGGAGAGGUGAGUGGAACUCCGAGUGUAGAGGUGAAAUUCGUAGAUAUUCGCAAGAACACCAGUGGCGAAGGCGGCUCACUGGCCCGGUACUGACGCUGAGGUGCGAAAGCGUGGGGAGCAAACAGG